This 253-nucleotide ribosomal RNA is filed under the name uncultured prokaryote. Its description in RNAcentral is "partial 16S ribosomal RNA". It matches the Rfam family "Bacterial small subunit ribosomal RNA", at positions 524 to 776 of the family's 1533-position model. The record is from RNAcentral.
GACGGAGGAGGCAAGCGUUGUCCGGAAUUAUUGGGCGUAAAGAGCGCGUAGGCGGUUUUCCAAGUCAUAUGUGAAAACUUUAGGCUUAACCUAAAGAUUGCAUGUGAAACUGGAUAACUAGAGUACGGCAGAGGAAAGUGGAAUUCCUGGUGUAGCGGUGAAAUGCGCAGAUAUCAGGAAGAACACCAGUGGCGAAGGCGGCUUUUUAGGCCGUUACUGACGCUGAGGCGCGAAAGCUAGGGGAGCGAACAGG